RNAcentral lists this long non-coding RNA (475 nucleotides) under Rosa chinensis. Its description in RNAcentral is "sRNA RchiOBHm_Chr7g0221611". The record is from RNAcentral. Lineage: Eukaryota; Viridiplantae; Streptophyta; Magnoliopsida; Rosales; Rosaceae.
GCCUCGAGACGUGGAUGAUAUCCCUCCAAGCUUUUUUCCACAAAUCGAAGUGAAAUUGACGAAUCGAAGUUGAGAAAGAUGUUUGGAUGGUUGAGACGAAGCUGCUGCCAAAAUCUGGUGGCCGGAGGCGGAGGUUGCCGGUGUGUGAACAGUGCGGUGAACAGUGAUUGCGGGUGAUAUACCGAGCUAUUGCUUGAUGAAGGAACUCGUAUGCGUGAUAGCCUAAAUAGUACUUUUGCAGGCUAGUUUAGCUGGAGGUCGAGCAUACAUCGAGUUGAGGCAUAGCUGUUGUAGCUUCCGCCUUAUAAAAGUAUCGGUUCUUUAUCUUUUAUUUUAUCAUCUUUUACGUCUGUACAUUAGAUUGCUCUGAUAACCCAUGAUAUUAAUAUUCUUAAGUCUAGAAUUGUUGUAAAUGGGGGAUGUUGUGAUUUAGGGAGUAUGGUGGCUCUAGAAGAUUAAGGAUGAAAUAUUUUAG